RNAcentral lists this ribosomal RNA (492 nucleotides) under uncultured bacterium. Its description in RNAcentral is "partial 16S ribosomal RNA". It matches the Rfam family "Bacterial small subunit ribosomal RNA", at positions 29 to 507 of the family's 1533-position model. The record is from RNAcentral.
AGUGAACGCUGGCGGUAGGCCUAACACAUGCAAGUCGAACGGCAGCACAGUAAGAGCUUGCUCUUACGGGUGGCGAGUGGCGGACGAGUGAGGAAUACAUCGGAAUCUACUUUUUCGUGGGGGAUGACGUAGGGAAACUUACGCUAAUACCGCAUACGACCUACGGGUGAAAGCAGGGGAUCUUCGGACCUUGCGCGAUUGAAUGAGCCGAUGUCGGAUUAGCUAGUUGGCGGGGUAAAGGCCCACCAAGGCGACGAUCCGUAGCUGGUCUGAGAGGAUGAUCAGCCACACUGGAACUGAGACACGGUCCAGACUCCUACGGGAGGCAGCAGUGGGGAAUAUUGGACAAUGGGCGCAAGCCUGAUCCAGCCAUACCGCGUGGGUGAAGGAGGCCUUCGGGUUGUAAAGCCCUUUUGUUGGGAAAGAAAAGCAGCAGGUUAAUACCCCGCUGUUCUGACGGUACCCAAAGAAUAAGCACCGGCUAACUUCGUG